GAUGAACGCUGGCGGCGUGCCUAAUACAUGCAAGUCGAGCGAACGGACGAGAAGCUUGCUUCUCUGAUGUUAGCGGCGGACGGGUGAGUAACACGUGGAUAACCUACCUAUAAGACUGGGAUAACUUCGGGAAACCGGAGCUAAUACCGGAUGAUAUUUUGAACCGCAUGGUUCAAAAGUGAAAGACGGUCUUGCUGUCACUUAUAGAUGGAUCCGCGCUGCAUUAGCUAGUUGGUAAGGUAACGGCCUACCAAGGCAACGAUGCAUAGCCGACCUGAGAGGGUGAUCGGCCACACUGGAACUGAGACACGGUCCAGACUCCUACGGGAGGCAUCAGUAGGGAAUCUUCCGCAAUGGGCGAAAGCCUGACGGAGCAACGCCGCGUGAGUGAUGAAGGUCUUCGGAUCGUAAAACUCUGUUAUUAGGGAAGAACAUAUGUGUAAGUAACUGUGCACAUCUUGACGGUACCUAAUCAGAAAGCCACGGCUAACUACGUG
This 497-nucleotide ribosomal RNA is filed under the name uncultured bacterium. RNAcentral's name for it is "partial 16S ribosomal RNA". It matches the Rfam family "Bacterial small subunit ribosomal RNA", at positions 28 to 507 of the family's 1533-position model. The record is from RNAcentral.